This 429-nucleotide ribosomal RNA is filed under the name Chloroflexota bacterium. Its description in RNAcentral is "Chloroflexi bacterium partial 16S ribosomal RNA". It matches the Rfam family "Bacterial small subunit ribosomal RNA", at positions 355 to 776 of the family's 1533-position model. The record is from RNAcentral. Lineage: Bacteria; Bacillati; Chloroflexota.
UGGGGAAUAUUGCACAAUGGGCGCAAGCCUGAUGCAGCCAUGCCGCGUGUGUGAAGAAGGCCUUCGGGUUGUAAAGCACUUUCAGCGGGGUGGAAGGCGUUAAGGUUAAUAACCUUGGCGAUUGACGUUACCCGCAGAAGAAGCACCGGCUAACUCCGUGCCAGCAGCCGCGGUAAUACGGAGGGUGCAAGCGUUAAUCGGAAUUACUGGGCGUAAAGCGCACGCAGGCGGUCUGUCAAGUCGGAGGUGAAAUCCCCGGGCUCAACCUGGGAACUGCAUUCGAAACUGGCAGGCUAGAGUCUUGUAGAGGGGGGUAGAAUUCCAGGUGUAGCGGUGAAAUGCGUAGAGAUCUGGAGGAAUACCGGUGGCGAAGGCGGCCCCCUGGACAAAGACUGACGCUCAGGUGCGAAAGCGUGGGGAGCAAACAGG